This is a long non-coding RNA of Acinonyx jubatus (cheetah), 497 nucleotides long. RefSeq lists it as uncharacterized. NCBI's taxonomy places the organism in Eukaryota, Metazoa, Chordata, Mammalia, Carnivora, Felidae. The record is from RefSeq and is a predicted model, not a curated record. The transcript is spliced from 3 exons.
AUGACAAAGUGUUUGUGAGAGGGCUUGAAAAUGGCGAAAGUGUUGUAUGGCAUAACGGAUAAGAGGUACCAAUCUUGUUGUGAUACAGGUCAUCAACUUUCUAGCUGACCCUUUGAGCCUCGGCUCUGCAAGAGGGCGCAGACUUAUUUUCUGUCACCACCGCGCCUGGAGUGUAAGCCCCACGAGAUGAGGAAAUUGAGGCCCAGAGAGGUGGAGUCACUUGCCCGAAGCCACACAGCCGUGACAGGGACGGCCCAGUUUGUACAGGCUCCGUGACACCCAUGUGCCUGCAUCAACUCUCUCUCUGCCAGUACUAGGACAGUCACUCCCAUUUUACAGGUAAGGACACUGAGGUUGGGCGUACAAACCAUAGGGCUAGCAAGUCGUGGAUUUGGGGUCUCUGUCAAGGCCCUUAGACCACGAGGCGAGUGCAUUUUCCUCUGCACCUUUUUGCACAAGAGACAGAAGCAAAAGAAAUGAGGAGGACACUGGAAGAG